This 465-nucleotide ribosomal RNA is filed under the name uncultured bacterium. RNAcentral's name for it is "partial 16S ribosomal RNA". It matches the Rfam family "Bacterial small subunit ribosomal RNA", at positions 28 to 507 of the family's 1533-position model. The record is from RNAcentral.
GACGAACGCUGGCGGCGUGCUUAACACAUGCAAGUCGAACGGAAAGGCCCUGCUUGCAGGGUACUCGAGUGGCGAACGGGUGAGUAACACGUGGGUGAUCUGCCCUGCACUUCGGGAUAAGCCUGGGAAACUGGGUCUAAUACCGGAUAGGAGCCAUUUUUAGUGUGAUGGUUGGAAAGUUUUUUCGGUGUAGGAUGAGCUCGCGGCCUAUCAGCUUGUUGGUGGGGUAAUGGCCUACCAAGGCGGCGACGGGUAGCCGGCCUGAGAGGGUGGACGGCCACAUUGGGACUGAGAGACGGCCCAGACUCCUACGGGAGGCAGCAGUGGGGAAUAUUGCACAAUGGGCGCAAGCCGGAUGCAGCGACGCCGCGUGGGGGAUGACGGCCUUCGGGUUGUAAACUCCUUUCGCUAGGGACGAAGCUUUUUGUGACGGUACCUAGAUAAGAAGCACCGGCUAACUACGUG